UGCCCUCACCUCUCAUGCUCUUCCUCUCCUAUCAGAAAGCCUUUCCAGGGGAGAUCUCUGGCCUUGACAUGCUCCAUGAUGGGGCCAAAUCACCUUGCAGGAGAAAAGUGAAUUAGUUCUGAGUUGGAGGUGUCAGACCCUCUUGGCUGAUGUUUUGAACUGGGUUUCUAGGUUGUUUCUGCCUGAAGGUCACAAGUGGCUGCAUGGUGUCUUGUUCACAGUCUCCUGGACACAAGCUUUAUGGGGGUUUCUCCAGGUUCCCAGAAAGGUAUGAAAGCUCAUUCUAUUUGUGUGUCCAAGGAAAACCUGCUGCACGUUCCACAAGAAAACAGUGAGAGGCUCUUGGGACUUCUUAUCUUCCUGCAGCAGUUUAAUAGCCACGAGCACUGUUCUGUAUAUCGUUUUUUCUGCAAUGUCUAUAUAACUUUG
RNAcentral lists this long non-coding RNA (429 nucleotides) under Crocodylus porosus (Australian saltwater crocodile). Its description in RNAcentral is "lncRNA (ENSCPRG00005012014.1)". Lineage: Eukaryota; Metazoa; Chordata; Crocodylia; Crocodylidae. The record is from RNAcentral.